Molecule: long non-coding RNA, 717 nt
Organism: Daphnia pulex (common water flea)
Lineage: Eukaryota; Metazoa; Arthropoda; Branchiopoda; Diplostraca; Daphniidae
Exons: 3
Source: RefSeq, a predicted model, not a curated record
GUUGGCAGUCACAGUUUAGCUUUUAGCAGUCUGAUGAGACAAAGUUCAUGAUUUAUAUUGUUAUAGAUUUAUUUGUUUGUGAUAAACGUCAUACUCCAUGCUGUUUAGCAGAUUUGAGGCAAGAGCGAGCCAUCAUAACCACCCAAUAUGCAAGUUUUUCUUGUGCAGGUGUUGACCUGUCACCAGCAACAAUCUUAGGAUAAUCGCUUGGGCUUGGAUAAAAAUCAUCCCAUUGCAUUGGCAUGCAAUUGUCAAUCGAGUUACGGAUCUCUCUUUUCCCCCUUUCUUUGUCCUCGUGUACGCUCAUUUGAAUGUAUUCACGAGAACACCCUUUUACCCUAUCCCGUUUGGUGUAAUUGAACUCUUCAGCGGAUGGAUGGAGCAACUGACGUAGAUGCCUGGCUGUAUUUCCCAGGCAUAAAGGUAGGACAACAUUGAUUUCUAUUCUUCCUGUUUGACUGUUUUUGGUGGCGUUAAUUAUAAAUCAGUAGUCACGUAGUCACGGAGUAUGUUUGUUCCUGAGCUAGGCGGUUGACUGCAACUGUUUUUCUCUCCGUUUUUUGUUUUUUCUCAGUAAGGGUCCGCAAAAAAUCUCAUUCGUCGAACGACUGUAGAUCAGGCCUGUUUUCCUGUUUUCCACGUAUUAUACUGAGAUUCACGACAAAAUGUCGUCGCCAAAUUGAUGACGAUUUCACGGUGGACAACUGUCUUUCCCAC